This 421-nucleotide ribosomal RNA is filed under the name uncultured bacterium. RNAcentral's name for it is "bacterial SSU rRNA". It matches the Rfam family "Bacterial small subunit ribosomal RNA", at positions 355 to 787 of the family's 1533-position model. The record is from RNAcentral.
UGGGGAAUAUUGGGCAAUGGGCGCAAGCCUGACCCAGCAACGCCGCGUGAAGGAAGAAGGCCCUCGGGUUGUAAACUUCUUUUGUCAGGGACGAAGCAAGUGACGGUACCUGACGAAUAAGCCACGGCUAACUACGUGCCAGCAGCCGCGGUAAUACGUAGGUGGCAAGCGUUAUCCGGAUUUACUGGGUGUAAAGGGCGUGUAGGCGGGAGAGCAAGUCAGAUGUGAAAUUCCAGGGCUCAACCCUGGAACUGCAUUUAGAAACUGUUUUUCUUGAGUUGAUGGAGAGGCAGGCGGAAUUCCGUGUGUAGCGGUGAAAUGCGUAGAUAUACGGAGGAACACCAGUGGCGAAGGCGGCCUGCUGGACAUUAACUGACGCUGAGGCGCGAAAGCGUGGGGAGCAAAACAGGAUUAGAUACCC